Molecule: long non-coding RNA, 1081 nt
Filed under: Canis lupus familiaris (dog)
Lineage: Eukaryota; Metazoa; Chordata; Mammalia; Carnivora; Canidae
Description: lncRNA (ENSCAFG00845014849.1)
Source: RNAcentral
CCGCGGGAGGGCCGCCGGAGCCCGCGCCCCGCCCCGGCCCGCCCCGGCCCCGCCCCGGCCCGCCCCGGCCCCGCCCCGGCCCGCCCCGGCCCGGCCCCGCCCCGCCCCGGCCCCGCCCCCCGCGGCCAGCCGCGGCUGCCUGGAGCCCCCCGGCCAGCGGCCGGCCGCUGGGGCCGAGUAUUGUCUCAAAGGCCGAAAAGACAGGAAAGCGGGGACACUGGGGGACAGCCACGUGACCAGGAGAGGAUUUAUAAUAUUUUCCUUCGCUGUCGACAAUAUUGCAAAAUGUACGAAAGGGACCGCACGGCCGCGACCGGAGCGUGACGGCGCGGGCAAGACAGGUUCCCGGAGCGCCCGCGCUGUGCCCGCCGGAGCCCGGGUCUCUCCAGCUCGCCGGGGCGGAAUCCGAGGGCAGAGGCCGGCUUACCGACACGACACGCGCCGAGGGGACCCAAACCCGGUCCGGUCCGAGCCCGCAGCCCGGCUCCUUCUCUCCUUCCACUUCCGCCUCACGUUUCCCCCCUACCGGAAAUCUGAUGGGCUUAUGACAUCAUGGCUGGCUGCUGAGCGAUGAAGUGGAUGCCACAAAGAAAUCCGACAUAUCAGAUGGAUUCUGAAAUCAGUUUCCCUCUGGCUGUAGUAACAGGCGUGAAGUCAGGAGAAUGUGAGCUUUGUUUAAAAAAACAAAAAAAUAUAACUAAGCCUCGUCCUGUGUUAAAUACAGUUUUUUUUUUUUUUUUUUAAGCAAACACACCUUUUGGACAUCAUCCUAUUUUAAUAGACAUGCUGGUUUUUAUGAAAUGAAAGCGUCUAAUAAAUCAGACCUGAUGCUGCAUUUGAACGUUGUUCCCUUUCGGUUGAGUUUUUGUGUGUCCUUAUUCACUAAUAAAGGAGGAACUAGGAAUUGUUUAUCUCCCUUCGUUAUUCAAAUGGGGUGGCUUUUUGUUUGUUUGUUUGGUUUAGUUUUUGUUUUUGUUUUUGUUUUUGUUUUUGAGGCCAAUAAAAUUCACGGGGUAAAUUGCUGGGUUAUAUGUUUCCAGGAAUCCAUUUUUAUAGAGUGACCUUGGACCUGACCUCGUCU